This 1976-nucleotide ribosomal RNA is filed under the name Myriostoma coliforme. RNAcentral describes it as "eukaryotic LSU rRNA". The stretch from base 508 to 1976 matches the Rfam family "Eukaryotic large subunit ribosomal RNA", at positions 1 to 1450 of the family's 3401-position model. Lineage: Eukaryota; Fungi; Basidiomycota; Agaricomycetes; Geastrales; Geastraceae. The record is from RNAcentral.
UAGAGGAAGUAAAAGUCGUAACAAGGUUUCCGUAGGUGAACCUGCGGAAGGAUCAUUACUGAAGGUUAAACAGGUCUUGAGACUCUUGUGUGCUCGACUUGUAAUAUAUCUAUACACACCUAUGUGCACUAUUUUUUAUUAUAAAAACCUGUUAUAUGCAUGUGUAUUUAACUCUACGGAGUAAAAUAAACAACUUUCAACAACGGAUCUCUUGGCUUUCGCAUCGAUGAAGAACGCAGCGAAUUGCGAAAAGUAAUGUGAAUUGCAGAAUUCAGUGAAUCAUCGAAUCUUUGAACGCAUCUUGCGCUCCUUGGUAUUCCGAGGAGCAUGCCUGUUUGAGAGUCGUGAACUACCUCAAUUUGUUACUUUUGUAAUGAAAUUGGACUUGGGUGUUGCUGUGUACAGCUCACCUUAAAUGGAUUAGUGAUGGGUUCUGAUCAACAUCAAUACAUCAUAAGAUGAUUGUGUUGAAGUGAUCAGACUGUUGCUUUAAACUCUUAUGACAUUUGACCUCAAAUCAGGCAGGACUACCCGCUGAACUUAAGCAUAUCAAUAAGCGGAGGAAAAGAAACUAACAAGGAUUCCCCUAGUAACGGCGAGUGAAGAGGGAAGAGCUCAAAUUUGAAAUCUGGCAGUCUUAUGGCUGUCCGAGUUGUAAUCUAGAGAAGUGUUUUCCGUGCUAGACCGUGUACAAGUCCAUUGGAACAUGGCGUCAUAGAGGGUGAGAAUCCCGUCCAUGACACGGUGACUAGUGCUCUGUGAUACACUCUCAACGAGUCGAGUUGUUUGGGAAUGCAGCUCAAAAUGGGUGGUAAAUUCCAUCUAAAGCUAAAUACAGGCGAAAGACCGAUAGCGAACAAGUACCGUGAGGGAAAGAUGAAAAGCACUUUGGAAAGAGAGUUAAACAGUACGUGAAAUUGUUGAAAGGGAAACGCUUGAAGUCAGUCGCGUCUUCAGAAAUUCAGCUAGUGAUACUAGUGUACUUUUCUGUUAGACGGGCCAGCGUCAGUUUCAGCCACCAGAAAAAGGUGAGAGAAAGGUAGCAUCCCCGGAUGUGUUAUAGUCUCUUAUCUUAUAUGGUGGCAGGGACUGAGGAAUGCAGCACGCCCUUGUUGGCCGGGGUUCGCCCACGUAACGUGCUUAGGAUGCUGGCGUAAUGGCUUUAAACGACCCGUCUUGAAACACGGACCAAGGAGUCUAACAUGCAUGCAAGUAUUUGGGUGGCAAACCCAUAUGCGUAAUGAAAGUGAAUCACAGUUGGGACUUGUGUCAUGCAAGGCACCGACGCCCGGUCCAUGAUCCCUCGUGUGACGGAUCCGAGGUAGAGCAUGUAUGCUGGGACCCGAAAGAUGGUGAACUAUGCCUGAGUAGGGUGAAGCCAGAGGAAACUCUGGUGGAGGCUCGUAGCGAUUCUGACGUGCAAAUCGAUCGUCGAACUUGGGUAUAGGGGCGAAAGACUAAUCGAACCAUCUAGUAGCUGGUUCCUGCCGAAGUUUCCCUCAGGAUAGCAGAGACUCAUGAAUCAGAUUUAUGUGGUAAAGCGAAUGAUUAGGGGCCUUGGGGUUGAAACAACCUUAACCCAUUCUCAAACUUUGAAUAUGUAAGAACGACGCGUCACUUGAUUGGACCCGUCGGUGAUUGAGAGUCUCUAGUGGGCCAUUUUUGGUAAGCAGAACUGGCGAUGCGGGAUGAACCGAUCGUGGGGUUAAGGUGCCGGAAUGCACGCUCAUCAGACACCACAAAAUGUGUGAGUUCAUCUAGACAGCAGGACGGUGGCCAUGGAAGUCGGAAUCCGCUAAGGAGUGUGUAACAACUCACCUGCCGAAUGAACUUGCCAUGAAAAUGGAUGGCGCUCAAGCGUGCUACCCAUACCCCACCGUCAGUGUUAAAGUGAAGCACUGACGAGUAGGCAGGCGUGGAGGUUGGUGAAGCAGCCUAGGCAGUGAUGCUGGGUGAAACAGCCUCUAGUGCAGAUU